GUGUCAACCGCCGCGGUAAUACGUAGGGGGCGAGCGUUGUCCGGAAUUACUGGGCGUAAAGGGCGCGUAGGCGGCGCAAAAAGUCAGAUGUGAAAAUCCUGGGCUUAACCGAGGGCUUGCAUUUGAAACUGUUGUGCUUGAGGGCAGGAGAGGAAAGCGGAAUUCCCAGUGUAGCGGUGAAAUGCGUAGAUAUUGGGAGGAACACCAGUGGCGAAGGCGGCUUUCUGGACUGCACCUGACGCUGAGGCGCGAAAGCCAGGGGAGCGAACGGGAUUAGAUACCCCGGUAGUCCUGGCCGUAAACGAUGGAUACUAGGUGUGGGAGGUAUCGACCCCUUCCGUGCCGCAGCCAACGCAUUAAGUAUCCCGCCUGGGGAGUACGGCCGCAAGGCUGAAACUUAAAGGAAUUGGCGG
Molecule: ribosomal RNA, 413 nt
Filed under: uncultured bacterium
Lineage: Bacteria
Description: bacterial SSU rRNA
Rfam family: Bacterial small subunit ribosomal RNA
Source: RNAcentral